UACGUAGGGCGCAAGCGUUGUCCGGAAUUAUUGGGCGUAAAGAGCUCGUAGGCGGUUUGUCGCGUCUGCUGUGAAAACCUGAGGCUCAACCUCGGGCUUGCAGUGGGUACGGGCAGACUAGAGUGCGGUAGGGGUGACUGGAAUUCCUGGUGUAGCGGUGGAAUGCGCAGAUAUCGGGAAGAACACCCGUGGCGAAGGCGGCUCUCUGGGACGGUACUGACGCUGAGACGCGGAAAGCGUGGGGAGCGAACGAGG
Molecule: ribosomal RNA, 255 nt
Filed under: uncultured bacterium
Lineage: Bacteria
Description: partial 16S ribosomal RNA
Rfam family: Bacterial small subunit ribosomal RNA
Source: RNAcentral